GCCCCGGUAGCUCAGCCGGCAGAGCGGCGGCCUUGUAAGCCGUUGGUCCCGGGUUCAAAUCCCGGCCGGGGCUCCA
This 76-nucleotide transfer RNA is filed under the name Nitrososphaeria archaeon. RNAcentral's name for it is "tRNA-Thr". It matches the Rfam family "tRNA". From Rfam's summary of the family: Transfer RNA (tRNA) molecules are approximately 80 nucleotides in length. Their secondary structure includes four short double-helical elements and three loops (D, anti-codon, and T loops). The record is from RNAcentral. Lineage: Archaea; Thermoproteati; Nitrososphaerota; Nitrososphaeria. RNAcentral also lists the same sequence under 2 other names.